This 253-nucleotide ribosomal RNA is filed under the name uncultured bacterium. RNAcentral's name for it is "partial 16S ribosomal RNA". It matches the Rfam family "Bacterial small subunit ribosomal RNA", at positions 524 to 776 of the family's 1533-position model. The record is from RNAcentral.
UACAGAGGUCCCAAGCGUUGUUCGGAUUCACUGGGCGUAAAGGGUGCGCAGGUGGCAUGGUAAGUUUGAUGUGAAAGCCCCGGGCUUAACCCGGGAAUGGCAUUGAAUACUACUGUGCUGGAGGAUCGGAGGGGGGACUGGAAUUCUUGGUGUAGCAGUGAAAUGCGUAGAUAUCAAGAGGAACACCAGUGGCGAAGGCGAGUCCCUGGACGAUACCUGACACUGAGGCACGAAAGCCAAGGGAGCAAACAGG